Molecule: ribosomal RNA, 79 nt
Organism: Ochotona princeps (American pika)
Lineage: Eukaryota; Metazoa; Chordata; Mammalia; Lagomorpha; Ochotonidae
Source: Ensembl
GUACUGGAUUCUACCCACCUGAACGCACCCGAUCUCGUCUGAUCUCGGAAGCUAAGCAGGGUCGGGCCUGGUUAGUACU